ACUCCUACGGGAGGCAGCAGUGGGGAAUCUUGCACAAUGGGCGAGAGCCUGAUGCAGCAACGCCGCGUGAGUGAAGAAGGCCCUUGGGUUGUAAAGCUCUUUCGGUUGGGAAGAAGGGGAUAUGGGCUAAUACCUCAUAUUUUUGACGGUACCAGCAUAAGAAGCACCGGCUAAUUCCGUGCCAGCAGCCGCGGUAAUACGGGAGGUGCAAGCGUUGUUCGGAGUGACUGGGCGUAAAGCGCACGUAGGUGGGCUUGUAAGUCGGAUGUGAAAUCCCCGGGCUUAACCUGGGAACUGCAUCCGAAACUACAAGUCUUGAAUGCUUCAGAGGUUGGUAGAAUUCCAGGUGUAGGAGUGAAAUCCGUAGAUAUCUGGAGGAAUACCGGAGGCGAAGGCGGCCAACUGGGAAUGCAUUGACACUGAGGUGCGAAAGCGUGGGGAGCAAACAGGAUUAGAUACCCUGGUAGUCCACGCUGUAAACUAUGGAUACUAGGUGUUUGGAGAAUUAACCCUCUGAGUACUACAGCUAACGCGUUAAGUAUCCCGCCUGGGGAGUACAGUCGCAAGGCCGAAACUCAAAGAAAUUGACGGGGGCCCGCACAAGCGGUGGAGUAUGUGGUUUAAUUCGAAGCAACGCGCAGAACCUUACCUACCCUUAACAUCCCACGCUAGCAUCAGAGAUGAUGUGUUCUCUUCGGAGACGUGGAGAUAGGUGCUGCAUGGCUGUCGUCAGCUCGUGUCGUAAGAUGUCUGGUUAAGUCCAAUAACGAGCGCAACCCCUAUUCUUAGUUGCCAUCAUUAAGUUAGGAACUCUAGGAAGACUGCCGGUGUUAAACCGGAGGAAGGCGGGGAUGACGUCAAGUCCUCAUGGCCCUUACGGGUAGGGCUACACACGUACUACAAUGGCAGAGACAGACCGUUGCGAAAUCGUGAGAUGGAGCUAAUCGGUAAAACACUGCCUCAGUUCAGAUUGCAGUCUGCAACUCGACUGCAUGAAGUUGGAAUCGCUAGUAA
RNAcentral lists this ribosomal RNA (1014 nucleotides) under uncultured bacterium. Its description in RNAcentral is "bacterial SSU rRNA". It matches the Rfam family "Bacterial small subunit ribosomal RNA", at positions 335 to 1341 of the family's 1533-position model. The record is from RNAcentral.